This 294-nucleotide long non-coding RNA is filed under the name Zonotrichia albicollis (white-throated sparrow). RNAcentral describes it as "lncRNA (ENSZALG00000004808.1)". Lineage: Eukaryota; Metazoa; Chordata; Aves; Passeriformes; Passerellidae. The record is from RNAcentral.
CUUUAUCCAUUUCAGAAGGCUGACAUGUUUGAAGAAAAGAUAUAGAGCACAUACAUACUAUGUCAUGGUUUCAGAACAGUGAAAAUGGAACAUACAUGAGGCUAUACACGCUAUAAAACCAUCUGCUCUGAUUCCUUACUUUUGGAGAAAGAUUCUUCAAAACAAAAAAUUGACUUUCAGGAAGAGCACAGACAAAGCAUUGAAAGCACCUAUUUGGAAGAGUAGAAGACAUUUGAACUUCUGUCUUGUCUUGGAGGUUUCACUAAAAUAGAGGAUCAUUCAUUUUGUAGACAA